AACGUAGGAGACAAACGUUAUCCGGAGUUACUGGGCGUAAAGGGCGUGUAGGCGGUUUGUUAAGUCUGGCGUGAAAGCUCUCGGCUAAACCGGGAGAGGUCGUUGGAUACUGGCAAACUAGAGGACGGUAGAGGCGUGUGGAAUUCCGGGUGUAGUGGUGAAAUGCGUAGAGAUCCGGAGGAACACCAGUGGCGAAGGCGACACGCUGGGCCAAUACUGACGCUGAGGUGCGAAAGCGUGGGGAGCAAACAGG
This 253-nucleotide ribosomal RNA is filed under the name uncultured bacterium. RNAcentral describes it as "partial 16S ribosomal RNA". It matches the Rfam family "Bacterial small subunit ribosomal RNA", at positions 524 to 776 of the family's 1533-position model. The record is from RNAcentral.